AGACGUCUACAUUAGAUACCCGUGUAGUCCCAGCCGUAAACUAUGCGCGUUAGGUGUAUCGGUGACCACGAGUCACCGAGGUGCCGAAGGGAAACCGUGAAACGUGCCGCCUGGGAAGUACGGUCGCAAGGCUGAAACUUAAAGGAAUUGGCGGGGGAGCACCACAACGGGUGGAGCCUUGCGGUUUAAUUGGACUCAACGCCGGGAAGCUCACCGGAUAAGACAGCGGAAUGAUUGCCGGGCUGAAGACUCUGCAUGACUAGCUG
RNAcentral lists this ribosomal RNA (266 nucleotides) under uncultured archaeon. RNAcentral describes it as "partial 16S ribosomal RNA". It matches the Rfam family "Archaeal small subunit ribosomal RNA", at positions 717 to 982 of the family's 1478-position model. The record is from RNAcentral.